RNAcentral lists this ribosomal RNA (513 nucleotides) under uncultured bacterium. RNAcentral's name for it is "bacterial SSU rRNA". It matches the Rfam family "Bacterial small subunit ribosomal RNA", at positions 956 to 1468 of the family's 1533-position model. The record is from RNAcentral.
GCAACGCGAAGAACCUUACCAGGUCUUGACAUCCCGCUGACCGCUAUGGAGACAUAGCUUUCCCUUCGGGGACAGCGGUGACAGGUGGUGCAUGGUUGUCGUCAGCUCGUGUCGUGAGAUGUUGGGUUAAGUCCCGCAACGAGCGCAACCCUUGUUCUUAGUUGCCAUCAUUUAGUUGGGCACUCUAAGGAGACUGCCGGUGACAAACCGGAGGAAGGUGGGGAUGACGUCAAAUCAUCAUGCCCCUUAUGACCUGGGCUACACACGUGCUACAAUGGACGGUACAAACGGUUGCCAACCCGCGAGGGGGAGCUAAUCCGAUAAAACCGUUCUCAGUUCGGAUUGCAGGCUGCAACUCGCCUGCAUGAAGCCGGAAUCGCUAGUAAUCGCGGAUCAGCAUGCCGCGGUGAAUACGUUCCCGGGCCUUGUACACACCGCCCGUCACACCACGAGAGUUUGUAACACCCGAAGUCGGUGAGGUAACCUUUUGGGGCCAGCCGCCGAAGGUGGGAC